This 301-nucleotide ribosomal RNA is filed under the name uncultured bacterium. RNAcentral describes it as "partial 16S ribosomal RNA". It matches the Rfam family "Bacterial small subunit ribosomal RNA", at positions 509 to 807 of the family's 1533-position model. The record is from RNAcentral.
CAGUCGCCGCGGUAAUACGUAGGGUGCAAGCGUUGUCCGGAAUUAUUGGGCGUAAAGAGCUCGUAGGCGGUUUGUCGCGUCUGCUGUGAAAUCCCGAGGCUCAACCUCGGGCUUGCAGUGGCUACGGGCAGACUAGAGUGCGGUAGGGGAGAUUGGAAUUCCUGGUGUAGCGGUGGAAUGCGCAGAUAUCAGGAGGAACACCGAUGGCGAAGGCAGAUCUCUGGGCCGUAACUGACGCUGAGGAGCGAAAGCGUGGGGAGCGAACAGGAUUAGAUACCCCCGUAGUCCCUGUCUCUUAUAC